ACGUGCCCUCCUGUACUGCCUUAGUUGGUCACAGCAAUGAGAUUUGCCCACCUCAUCCCACGGCGGGGGGGAAAAAGCAAGAGGCAAUGGCAAUCAGUGAUGUCGGACAACACACAGACUAAUUUAGGGGCAAAAGUCUAGUAUUUCCAGAGAGGAGAUGGGCGGUACUGGUUUACAGUGGCAAUAUGACCGCGUCACACAAUGUUUUCGACCGCUGGCAACAAGGCAGGUUAAGUGUCAGAACUAUCACUUAGUUUGUACUAGAACAUUUGUUAAACUUUGGAAAACCCUAAGCCUAAAGUCUUGAAAAGAGAUAUGGAGAUAGACGAGCCUAGACAUUUUAAAAAAUUAAGCUAAGCCGAUGUACCAGCAAUUCUUAUUUCUUCUAAGAAUGUCAUGCCUUUUCAAGACCUGAUGCAAGGAGUAAGAUAUUUGUGCCUUUUUCUAAUAGUGUCUAUUAUGGGAAAAAAAAAAAUCAAGUUGCUUACAGUUUAGACCGCCUUGUUGCACUAUAAGCAGCCCAGAUUCAUAGCCAUGGCUCCCCUGCAUGAUGCGUUGCUUGACUACCUGUGAUGAAAUAUUGUAAUGAUGGUUUGCCAAGCUUGUAUGAAUGUUUGAAGACUUUAUUUUUGCAGUCAUAACCUUGGGCUGGACCUAAGUCUAUAUAUAAACCACAUGGUGUCUGUAUUGUUUGUAGAUGCUGACGAAAGAAAACUUGAUCUUUUGAUUUUUGUUGUAAGAUUUUUCUUUUUAUGUUUAGGCUGGUAGUAGAUCAUUUGCAAAUGGUGGUUGAUUUGGCAUACUUCUAAACUGUAUUGUUUCAGCUUGAAUAUUCUAUACUAAACUUUUAUAGAGUAUAACAUGCUAAGUCACUACAAAAUUUGUUGUAUUGUAAGGCGAGUGUAAACAUUUUGUUAAUAAAGUGCUAUGUUUACAGAUAA
This 941-nucleotide long non-coding RNA is filed under the name Bos taurus (domestic cattle). RNAcentral's name for it is "long non-coding RNA NONBTAT005564". The record is from RNAcentral. Lineage: Eukaryota; Metazoa; Chordata; Mammalia; Artiodactyla; Bovidae.